GAUGAACGCUGGCGGCGUGCUUAAUACAUGCAAGUCGAACGGAAAGGCCCUGCUCUUGCGGGGUGCUCGUGUGGCGAACGGGUGAGUAACACGUGAGUAACCUGCCCUUGUCUUUGGGAUAACUCUAGGAAACUGGGGCUAAUACCGGAUAGGAGCUCUUGCUGCAUGGUGGGGGUUGGAAAGUUUCGGCUGUUGGGGAUGGACUCGCGGCUUAUCAGCUUGUUGGUGGGGUAGUGGCUUACCAAGGCUUCGACGGGUAGCCGGCCUGAGAGGGUGACCGGCCACAAUAGGACUGAGGGACGGCGCAGACGCCUACGUGAGGCAGCAGUGGGAAAUAUUGCGCAGUGAGCGGAAGCCUGAUACGGCGGCGCCGCGUGCGGAAAAACGUCCUACGAGUUAUGAACCGCUGUCGCCGUAAACGAAGCGAGAGUGACGGUAAUUAAUAAGGAAGCACCGGCUAACUACGUG
Molecule: ribosomal RNA, 468 nt
Filed under: uncultured bacterium
Lineage: Bacteria
Description: partial 16S ribosomal RNA
Rfam family: Bacterial small subunit ribosomal RNA
Source: RNAcentral